Bos taurus (domestic cattle) is the source of this 632-nucleotide long non-coding RNA. Lineage: Eukaryota; Metazoa; Chordata; Mammalia; Artiodactyla; Bovidae. The record is from Ensembl.
CCUCUGUCAGGAUGGUCUUGCCGAAAAAUGCCUCUUCACUGGGAAGGUACGACAUAGCCUUCACCUGCAUCGCUAUGACUCUGGCCACUCCCUGCCUGACACCACCAAGUGUCUGGGCCCCGACUGGCCAACAUUCUGUAUUGAUUGCAAUGCGUUUCUCCUCCUCAGACUGGCUUGGAAAGUCGAAUGGCGGAUUCUUUAUCUGCUGAGCCAUCAGCCGAGAUGUCUGCUGAGCAGAAUCAUUUUCUUCUGCCAUGUGGAUUGAAAUCCAGCUCAGUGGCAGAUUUUCCUCGUGUUGAAAGGGAACCUCUGGUCAAAAGUCAGCAGCCGCGCUGCAGAAAGCUUUGAUAGUCAGUGAAGUGGAUCACGGCAUGCGCGGAUGGAGCCUCUCGCUGCGCGGGCGGACCUCCCUCCAAGAGCGACCCCUGGUCAUCAGUCAUCGGGGCCCCCAUCGCCUUCUGCGCAGCCGAUGGUUUCACCAGAUCCACGGGGCCUGGGUCCCAAGCUGCCCUUUUCCACAGGUAUUGCUAAAGCAAAUAGCAGACGGUAUUUACUGGGUGUGAUGCUUUCAAUCACAUUAAUCUAGCCAGUAAAAAAAUUUAUGACCAAUAAAAAUUCCACCAUGACAUGGC